UAGAGCUACAGUCUCUUCCAGGUUUCAGGGGUGGCUUGUUUGACCCUGGGGUAAAAAUCCAAGUUGCUUAAAUCAUAAAUUCUCACAUUCUUGGCCCAGGAGUGAGUGUAGGAUUGUAGAAGAGAUUUGGAGUUAGUCAUUGGUUUCAAUAAUAAAUGACUAGCUGUGCACCUUGGACAAGUUACUUGAUUUGCCUGAGCCUUGAUUUCUUCAUCUGGAAACCACUGCCUGGUAGCUGCCAUGUGGUGAGGAUACUCAAUGGGAGACCCAUGUGGAAAGGAACUGAGGCCCCAGUCAACAGCCAAGACCAACUUGCCAGUCAUGUGAGUUAGCCAACUUGAAAAUGCAUCAAACUGCAGCCUGAAGAGAGACUCUGAGCCACAACUGCCCAGCUGAGCCACUUCCAAAUUCCUGACACACAGACACUGUUAGAGAUAAUAAAUUGUUAUUGUUGUUUCAAGUCACUAAGUUUUAGAGGGGAUUUCUUAUGCAGCAAUAGAUUAUGUAAGAUCCAUUUCUCUAGCGUCAACUCUCAUUAACCAAGCACAGAGCCCAAUAUAUAAACCAGAAUAGCAACUUACUAAUAUGCUUUGAGAUACACAACUCUUG
This 609-nucleotide long non-coding RNA is filed under the name Equus asinus (donkey). RNAcentral's name for it is "lncRNA (ENSEASG00005026330.1)". The record is from RNAcentral. Lineage: Eukaryota; Metazoa; Chordata; Mammalia; Perissodactyla; Equidae.